GAUGAACGCUGGCGGCGUGCCUAAUACAUGCAAGUCGAGCGAACAGACGAGGAGCUUGCUCCUCUGACGUUAGCGGCGGACGGGUGAGUAACACGUGUAUAACCUACCUAUAAGACUGGGAUAACUUCGGGAAACCGGAGCUAAUACCGGAUAAUAUAUUGAACCGCAUGGUUCAAUAGUGAAAGACGGUUUUGCUGUCACUUAUAGAUGGAUCCGCGCCGCAUUAGCUAGUUGGUAAGGUAACGGCUUACCAAGGCAACCAUGCGUAGCCGACCUGAGAGGGUGAUAGGCCACACUGGAACGGAGACACGGUCAAGACUCCUACGGGAGGCAGCAGUAGGGAAUCUUACGCAAUGGGCGAAAGCCUGACGGAGCAACGGCGCGUGAGUGAUGAAGGUGUUCGGAUCGUAAAACUCUGUUAUUAGGGAAGAACAAAUGUGUAAGUAACUAUGCACGUCUUGACGGUACCUAAUCAGAAAGCCACGGCUAACUACGUG
RNAcentral lists this ribosomal RNA (497 nucleotides) under uncultured bacterium. RNAcentral describes it as "partial 16S ribosomal RNA". It matches the Rfam family "Bacterial small subunit ribosomal RNA", at positions 28 to 507 of the family's 1533-position model. The record is from RNAcentral.